RNAcentral lists this ribosomal RNA (740 nucleotides) under uncultured bacterium. RNAcentral's name for it is "bacterial SSU rRNA". It matches the Rfam family "Bacterial small subunit ribosomal RNA", at positions 1 to 742 of the family's 1533-position model. The record is from RNAcentral.
UAGAGUUUGAUCAUGGCUCAGAUUGAACGCUGGCGGCAGGCCUAACACAUGCAAGUCGAGCGGUAGAGAGAAGCUUGCUUCUCUUGAGAGCGGCGGACGGGUGAGUAAUGCCUAGGAAUCUGCCUGGUAGUGGGGGAUAACGUUCGGAAACGGACGCUAAUACCGCAUACGUCCUACGGGAGAAAGCAGGGGACCUUCGGGCCUUGCGCUAUCAGAUGAGCCUAGGUCGGAUUAGCUAGUUGGUGGGGUAAUGGCUCACCAAGGCGACGAUCCGUAACUGGUCUGAGAGGAUGAUCAGUCACACUGGAACUGAGACACGGUCCAGACUCCUACGGGAGGCAGCAGUGGGGAAUAUUGGACAAUGGGCGAAAGCCUGAUCCAGCCAUGCCGCGUGUGUGAAGAAGGUCUUCGGAUUGUAAAGCACUUUAAGUUGGGAGGAAGGAUUGUAGAUUAAUACUCUGCAAUUUUGACGUUACCGACAGAAUAAGCACCGGCUAACUCUGUGCCAGCAGCCGCGGUAAUACAGAGGGUGCAAGCGUUAAUCGGAAUUACUGGGCGUAAAGCGCGCGUAGGUGGUUUGUUAAGUUGGAUGUGAAAUCCCCGGGCUCAACCUGGGAACUGCAUUCAAAACUGACUGACUAGAGUAUGGUAGAGGGUGGUGGAAUUUCCUGUGUAGCGGUGAAAUGCGUAGAUAUAGGAAGGAACACCAGUGGCGAAGGCGACCACCUGGACUAAUACUA